RNAcentral lists this unclassified non-coding RNA (248 nucleotides) under uncultured fungus. RNAcentral's name for it is "sequence contains ITS2". The stretch from base 1 to 52 matches the Rfam family "5.8S ribosomal RNA", at positions 103 to 154 of the family's 154-position model. Lineage: Eukaryota; Fungi. The record is from RNAcentral.
AACGCACAUUGCGCCCGCCGGUAUCCCGGCGGGCAUGCCUGUUCGAGCGUCAUUUCAACCCUCAGGCCUCGCCUGGUGUUGGGGCUUCCUGCGCACCGCAGGCCCUCAAAGGCAGCGGCGGGUGCGCCUACGAACCGAACGCAGUAGUUUCCUCUCGUUCUGGCCUUCGCGGGCGUGCUCCGGCCGUUAAAACCCAUAGACUCCAAAUGGUUGACCUCGGAUCAGGUAGGAAUACCCGCUGAACUUAA